This 1088-nucleotide unclassified non-coding RNA is filed under the name Leishmania donovani. RNAcentral's name for it is "gene:LdHU3.36.7530(CDS-product:branch_point_bindi ng_protein_putative)". The record is from RNAcentral. Lineage: Eukaryota; Euglenozoa; Kinetoplastea; Trypanosomatida; Trypanosomatidae.
GAAGCACGCGACGGUGCACCUCUCCCCUUUCUCUCUCUCUCUGCACAAUCACACCUAUGCCGAAGGAGACCGCAUCCCGGUGGAGCGAGUCGCGCUACACGAACUUGCAAGUGCCGAGCUACGUCCCUUCCGAGGCCCUCAUGCACGAAGAUGGACAGUUUCUGCGCGCCUUUCUCCUUCGCGUGCUGGCGAAUGAUAUGCAGCGCAUGCUCGCCACCAACACGUGCGCUGCCUACUUCCGCAACAUCCCGCUGGAACCGGAGUACGACGCAAGCGGCAAUCGCACCAACACACCUGAGAACGUGGUGAUGGAAAAGCGACUGCGCGUCAUGGACGACAUUAGCAAGUUGCUGCGCACCUACGUGGAGCGGGCCGAGUACGCGGCCAACAAGUCCAAGGACAUCAAUCGUCGCAUCUACUUCACAGCGGAGCAGAUCGAGACGGGCGACUACGGUGCUCUCAUCGGGCCGCGUGGUUUGGUGCAUCAACAGCUGGAGAAGGAGACAAAUUGUCACAUUGUGCUGGUCGGGCGAGGCAUCACCAAUCCGCUAAAGGACACGAACCCGAAUGCAGCGGCCAUGGCGCUGGAGGACCCACACGUGCGCAUCACCGCCACCACGGAAGAGGAUCUGCAAACAGCCGCGGAGCGCAUUGAGUGGAUCCUGUCCGAUGAGCCGGAGGCUGUCGAGUUCCGCGAGAACAACCGCCGCCGAAUGGCCCAGGUGGACGGCCGCUACGACCCGCGCACGUGGAUGACGGCGGCGGAGAAGCGGAAGAAGGCAGCCGCGGAGAAGGCGGCUGCAGCUGGUGGCGCUGCUGCGGGCGAGGACGAGACGGGAGCGGAGAAGGGUCGCAAACGGGAGCGGGAGGAGUCACCAGUGGAAGAGGAAGACACCGAGCUGAACGAGUUCCUUGAAGACCUGUAGGCCUCUGCUCUGCCACGGCCACUGCCUGAAUGGAAGCAGCUGGGGACAUGUUGUGUGUGUGUGUGUGUGUGUGUUUGUAGCUGGUGCAGACUUUGGUAUGGAUGCUCGCCGCCACCGCGCGGUGGUGGCAAUAAUAAUGAGAAAUCCUCCCCCACUCACAUC